This 471-nucleotide ribosomal RNA is filed under the name uncultured bacterium. Its description in RNAcentral is "SSU rRNA". It matches the Rfam family "Bacterial small subunit ribosomal RNA", at positions 26 to 518 of the family's 1533-position model. The record is from RNAcentral.
AGGACGAACGCUUGCGGCGUGCCUAAGAAAUGCAAGUCGAACGGAUCGGUAGCAAUACCGGUUAGUGGCGAACGGUCGCGUAACACGUAAGCAACCUGCCCUGAAGUGGGGGACAACAGCUUGAAGGAGCUGCUAAUACCGCAUGUGGAGAACCGGUGGCAUCACCGGUUGUCUAAAGCUUAAUGCGCUUCAGGAUGGGCUUGCGGCCUAUCAGCUUGUUGGUGGGGUAACGGCCUACCAAGGCUUUGACGGGUAGCUGGUCUGAGAGGACGAUCAGCCGGAUUGGGACUGAGAUACGGCCCAGACUCCUACGGGGGCAGCAAUUAGGAAUCUUGCACAAUGGGGGCAACCCUGAUGCAGCGACGCCGCGUGCGGGAUGACGGCAUUCGUGUUGUAAACCGCUUUUAUCGGGGAAGAGAAUGUGACGGUACCCGGUGAAUAAGCCCCGGCUAACUACGUGCCAGUAGCCGC